GCUAUUUUGGCAGAGAAGUGCAAUGAAUUUAGAAUUCAUGAAUGUAGAUGUUACUACAGGUAGUA
RNAcentral lists this transfer RNA (65 nucleotides) under Camptonotus carolinensis (leaf-rolling cricket). RNAcentral's name for it is "tRNA-Leu". The record is from RNAcentral. Lineage: Eukaryota; Metazoa; Arthropoda; Insecta; Orthoptera; Gryllacrididae.